CGCUGGCGGCGUGCUUAACACAUGCAAGUCGAGCGGUAAGGCCCUUCGGGGUACACGAGCGGCGAACGGGUGAGUAACACGUGGGUGAUCUGCCCUGCACUUCGGGAUAAGCCUGGGAAACUGGGUCUAAUACCGGAUAUGACCUUCGGCUGCAUGGCUGAGGGUGGAAAGGUUUACUGGUGCAGGAUGGGCCCGCGGCCUAUCAGCUUGUUGGUGGGGUAAUGGCCUACCAAGGCGACGACGGGUAGCCGACCUGAGAGGGUGACCGGCCACACUGGGACUGAGACACGGCCCAGACUCCUACGGGAGGCAGCAGUGGGGAAUAUUGCACAAUGGGCGAAAGCCUGAUGCAGCGACGCCGCGUGAGGGAUGACGGCCUUCGGGUUGUAAACCUCUUUCAGCAGGGACGAAGCGAAAGUGACGGUACCUGCAGAAGAAGCACCGGCCAACUACGUGCCAGCAGCCGCGGUAAUACGUAGGGUGCAAGCGU
Molecule: ribosomal RNA, 490 nt
Filed under: Rhodococcus opacus
Lineage: Bacteria; Bacillati; Actinomycetota; Actinomycetes; Mycobacteriales; Nocardiaceae
Description: bacterial SSU rRNA
Rfam family: Bacterial small subunit ribosomal RNA
Source: RNAcentral